UUGAUGGAGAGUUUGAUCCUGGCUCAGGACGAACGCUGGCGGCGUGCCUAAUACAUGCAAGUCGAGCGGGGCUUGAGGAGGGCUUGCCCUUCGAGAGCCCAGCGGCGGACGGGUGAGUAACACGUGGGUAACCUGCCCGUAAGACCGGGAUAACUCCGGGAAACCGGGGCUAAUACCGGAUAACACCGGGGGCCGCAUGGCUUCCGGUUGAAAGGCGGCCUUUGGC
RNAcentral lists this ribosomal RNA (226 nucleotides) under Caldibacillus debilis. RNAcentral describes it as "partial 16S ribosomal RNA". It matches the Rfam family "Bacterial small subunit ribosomal RNA", at positions 1 to 215 of the family's 1533-position model. The record is from RNAcentral. Lineage: Bacteria; Bacillati; Bacillota; Bacilli; Caryophanales; Bacillaceae.